RNAcentral lists this transfer RNA (75 nucleotides) under Myxococcales bacterium. RNAcentral describes it as "tRNA-His". It matches the Rfam family "tRNA". Rfam says of the family: Transfer RNA (tRNA) molecules are approximately 80 nucleotides in length. Their secondary structure includes four short double-helical elements and three loops (D, anti-codon, and T loops). The record is from RNAcentral. Lineage: Bacteria; Pseudomonadati; Myxococcota; Myxococcia; Myxococcales.
GUGGGCGUAGCUCAGUGGUAGAGCACUGGAUUGUGGCUCCAGACGUCGCGGGUUCAAUUCCCGUCGUCCACCCCA